This is a long non-coding RNA of Pseudonaja textilis, 5501 nucleotides long. The record is from Ensembl. Lineage: Eukaryota; Metazoa; Chordata; Lepidosauria; Squamata; Elapidae.
GGUAAAUGUAGAGAGUGUCAAUCAAAGGCAGAGCUCAGAGCUGGGAAGAAAGCUCUAGAUGGCGGCUGUGCCUUGGAGAGCGCGCUGAGCCUCCUGCCUUUUUUCCCCCUCUCUCCUCCGCCACUUUUGCGCAACUUUGUGUAACUUUUGGGCGUCCUCAAGGGGCUCCUGCGGCCCCUGGUCUCUUGUGGAGGCCAGUGCUAGGGGGAUCGUGCGUUUUUCGGGCAGAAAAGCAGCUUUGGGGGGACUUUUUUUCCCCCUCUCCCUUCGCCUGGUUAGAAAGAAACAGCCCAGGUCGUUGUUUUUCCCAGCUUGGAAGCCAUGGCGUACCUCCAUUUUUGUGCGCUCUCCUAAUGAGCUUUUUCCUCCGGAUCUUCUUUUUUUCUCCUUUUUUUUUAAAUAUUCCUUUACGGCUUUAAUGAUUGCCGAUGGCAACUAAGCAAUUGCGGGAUCGUGUGGAUUAAUUUCGAAUGUGUUAUUUUUUAAAAGAAGGCGGAUUUUGUUUUUUUUCUUGCCUGCGUUGCGUUUGGAACGCUUCGGAAGCGAAUGUUUUCCCACGACUAGAAACCGGGUUGGGGCUGGCGUUGGAGCCUGGCUCAGUAAAUACCUGGGCACAGGACUUCAGCCCAAAUCCAGCCAUCCUUCUACCUUUCCCUUAAUACUUUAAGAAUUGAAAGAUGUUGAGAAAUACGGACAAAAGCCAAGGAGAGGAGGGUUCAGUGCACAGCCAUGCAUCGAGUCACUCAGCGUCUGAAGAGGGCUCGGGUUCCGACUCAGGGAGCCAGUCAGACAGCGAGCAAGGCAGUGAUCAUGGAAGUGAAACCAACAGCAGCUCCGAGUCUUCGGGAAGUCAAUCCGAAUCAGAGAGCGGGUCCACAGCAUCCAAGUCUCGGCAGACCCCUCCGGAAGCUAAGGAGAAACCAGCAUCCAAGAAAGAAAGGAUAGCUGAUGUCAAAAAAAUGUGGGAAGAGUAUCCCGAUGUUUAUGGGGUGAGACGAUCCAACCGUAGCAGACAGGAGCCUUCGCGUUUUACUAUAAAUGACGAGGGGCAUAGCGAGUCUGAAAGUGAGAGUCCCAAACGAAGAAGCUCAAGGCAAGUGAGAAAAAUAGGUAAAUGGAAAAGGGAGGGAUCUAGGGAUGAUGACGAAGAUGAUGUUGAAGAUCAAGGCUCCAGUGGAGAGAGUGAACAAGAAGUGAAGCAAGUGAGGUCCAGAAGACUUAGUUCAAGAAGAGCAGUGACCAAAUCCAUCCCAAAAAGGAGCAGCAAACCGCAACGGCCGAAGAGGCGGAGGAAAACCGAAUCAUCAGAGGAAGAGGAGGAGGAGGAGGAGGAUGAGACUCCCAAAAGGCAAACUAAGCGCCGAGCAGCCAAAAAUGUCAGUUACAAGGAAGACGAUGACUUUGAGACCGAUUCAGACGACUUGAUUGAGAUGACAGGUGAAGGGGCGGAGGAGCAGCAAAAUAACAGCGAAACCAUUGAGAAAGUGCUGGAGAGGAGAAUAGGCAGGAAAGGAGCCACUGGGGCCUCCACCACUGUCUACUCAAUGGAAGCCAACGGUGAUCCCUGUGCCGAUUUUGAUCCAGAAAAGGAGGAAGGGGAAGUGCAGUACUUGGUUAAAUGGAAAGGUUGGUCAUACAUCCACAGCACAUGGGAAAGUGAGGACUCCUUGCAGCAGCAGAAAGUGAAAGGCAUUAAGAAGCUGGAGAACUUCAAGAAGAAAGAAGAAGACAUCAACAGUUGGUUGGAAAAGGUCACCCCAGAAGACGUAGAGUAUUUCAACUGCCAACAGGAACUGGCAGCUGAGUUGAACAAACAGUACCAGAUUGUGGAAAGAGUGAUUGUUCACAACCGCAAGUCCUCCUCUAAUGAGCCAGAGUACCUUUGCAAGUGGAUGGGACUUCCCUACGCAGAAUGUAGCUGGGAAGAUGAAGCUCUGAUCAGCAAAAAAUUCCAGUACUGUAUUGAUAGCUUCAACAAUAGGAACAACUCCAAAGCCAUGCCUACUCGGGACUGCAAGGUGCUGAAGCAAAGGCCUCGUUUUGUGGCCUUGAAGAACCAACCUUCCUACAUUGGUGGGGAGAAUCUGGAACUCCGCGACUAUCAGCUGGAGGGCUUGAAUUGGUUGGCUCAUUCUUGGUGCAAGAACAACAGUGUCAUCCUGGCGGACGAGAUGGGCUUGGGGAAGACCAUCCAGACCAUUUCUUUCCUCUGCUACCUCUUCUAUCAGCACCAGCUCUAUGGCCCCUUUCUGAUUGUGGUGCCUUUGUCAACCCUAACCUCAUGGCAGAGGGAGUUUGAGAUCUGGGCCCCUGAGGUCAACGUGGUUGUGUACAUUGGAGAUCAGCUGAGCAGGAAUAUCCGUGAGUAUGAGUGGGUCCAUUCUCAGACCAAACGGUUGAAGUUCAACGUGCUGAUUACAACCUAUGAGAUCCUCCUGAAAGACAAGGCCGUUUUGGGAAGCAUCAACUGGGCCUUCCUAGGAGUGGAUGAAGCCCACCGCUUGAAGAAUGACGAUUCUUUGCUCUACAAGACACUGAUCGACUUCAAGUCCAACCACCGCCUGCUCAUCACUGGGACACCCCUUCAGAAUUCCCUGAAGGAACUGUGGUCCCUGCUGCAAUUCAUCAUGCCAGAGAAGUUCGAAUCCUGGGAAGACUUUGAAGAGGACCAUGGCAAAGGACGAGAGAACGGGUACCAGAGCCUGCAUAAGGUCCUGGAGCCCUUUCUCCUGCGCAGGGUGAAGAAGGACGUGGAAAAAUCCCUCCCAGCCAAAGUAGAGCAGAUCCUGAGGGUGGAGAUGUCUGCCCUCCAGAAGCAGUAUUACAAAUGGAUUUUAACAAGGAAUUACAAAGCCCUGUCCAAGGGAACACGUGGCAGCACUUCUGGCUUCCUGAACAUCGUGAUGGAGCUGAAGAAAUGUUGCAAUCACUGUUACCUGAUCAAACCUCCAGAAGAGAAUGAGAGGGAAAACAGCCAGGAGAGGCUGCAGUCUUUAAUCAGGAGCAGUGGGAAACUCAUCCUUCUGGACAAACUGCUCAGCAGGCUCCGUGCGAGGGGCAACCGAGUCCUCAUCUUCUCCCAGAUGGUGAGAAUGUUGGACAUCUUGGCGGAAUAUCUGACCAUCAAGCACUACCCUUUCCAGCGCCUGGACGGUUCUAUCAAAGGAGAAAUCCGGAAGCAGGCUCUGGAUCAUUUCAACGCCGAAGGCUCGGAGGACUUCUGCUUUCUACUCUCCACACGUGCUGGCGGCCUGGGGAUCAACUUGGCGUCGGCUGACACAGUGGUGAUCUUCGAUUCGGACUGGAACCCCCAGAAUGACCUACAGGCUCAGGCUCGGGCUCAUCGGAUUGGCCAAAAGAAACAAGUAAAUAUCUAUCGCUUGGUUACAAAGGGAACAGUGGAAGAGGAGAUUAUAGAAAGAGCAAAGAAGAAAAUGGUGCUGGACCAUCUUGUGAUACAGCGAAUGGACACCACAGGCCGGACAGUUUUGGACAACAGCUCUGAUAGAUCCAAGACAAACCCCUUCAACAAGGAGGAACUGACCGCCAUUUUGAAAUUUGGAGCCGAAGAACUUUUUAAAGAACCCGAAGGGGAAGAAUCUGAACCACAAGAAAUGGACAUUGAGGAAAUCUUACGCCUGGCUGAGACACGAGAGAAUGAACCAUCCACAAGUGCAACAGACGAACUGCUUUCACAAUUUAAAGUAGCAAACUUUGCUACAACAGAAGAGGAAGAAGCCGAGGCGGAAGAGAAAUCUCAGAAGGAGUGGGAAAGCAUCAUUCCUGAGGAACAAAGGAAGAAAGUGGAAGAAGAGGAGCGGCAGAAAGAACUUGAGGAGAUAUACAUGCUGCCCAGGAUUCGCAGCUCAGCCAAAAAGGUAAUUUUUCUAGCAGAGUCAAAAAUUUGCUAUGGAGCACCUUUAUUACGUUCCAUCUCCCUUUUUAGACUGGAAUGCCUCGCUCGGGAUGCUGAACUGGUAGAGAAAUCGGUAGCUGAUCUGAAACGUUUGGGAGAACUUCUCCAUAACAGUUGUGCUUCAGAAAGGGGCUUUCUAAAGGGGCCCACAAUUAAGAUCUCUGGAGUCCAGGUGAAUGUGAAAGCAAUUAUUCAACAUGAGGAGGAGUUUGCGAUGCUCCAUCAGACCAUUCCCAGUGACCCAGUGGAGAGGGCAAGGUUUCGUCUGAACUCCCGUGUCAAAUCUGCCCAUUUUGAUGUAGACUGGGGAGUGGAAGAGGAUUCUUCCUUGCUGCGGGGGAUUUAUGAGCAUGGAUGUGGGAACUGGGAGCUCAUCAAGUCAGACCCAGAACUGAACCUCACUGAAAAGAUUUUACCAGCUGAGACAGAUAAAAAGCCACAGGGGAAGCAGCUCCAGGCGCGAGUAGAUUAUCUGAUGAAGCUUAUCAAAAGAGACAUGAAGAGGAAAGAGAACCCGAACAAGACAGAGGAGGUCAGUUCCGUAACCAAGCUAAAUUUGCUCAAGUGGGCUUCAUUAAUGCUACGUAUUAUUUGGGAAGUUAGCCCAUGGAAAACUCAGGCUUCCAGUCAGUGUGGCAGAAAUCAUGGACACAGGAAGGAAGGGGCUAAAGUAAAGAAAUGGAAGGGGCCCUUUAUCAGGAUGCUUUCUCCUCUUCUCUUUUCACAGCCCAAAGGCGCCGAGGCCAAACCCGGAAACCAAGGGAAGAAACUGCUGGGUCAGGGUCCCGUCCACAUUACGGCAGGAAGUGACCCUGUCCCCAUUGAAGAAGAGGAAGAGGAUGAGUUAGACCAUGCAACCUUCACCAUUUGCAAAGAGCUGAUGAGGCCAGUUAAGAAGUCCCUGAAGCAGCUGGAUAAGCCAGAAAGAGGACUUACAGACCACGACCAGCUGGAGCAAACACGGAGUUGCCUACUCAAGAUCGGAGACCACAUUGCUGAAUGUUUGAAAAUCCACACUGAACAGGAAGUCUUUAACGUAUGGAGAAGGAAUCUAUGGGUAUUUGUCUCCAAGUUUACUGAAUUUAAUGCCAAGAAAUUACAUAAGAUAUAUAAGAUGGCUAACAAAAAGCGAUCCCGGGAACAGGAGGUAAGAACAGAGGUGUGUGUGUUUGUGUUGUCAUUCCAAGACCUAGAUAGGGUCAUCUUUGCCUCUUUUGUUGAGUUGAAUGUUUUGUGUUCUUCUUUCCCCUCCAGAUACUGUCAUGAAGCCAAGAGACGAAGAUUAGAUGGAUUCCGGCCCCAGAAUUACCAACAAGAUUAUCGGAGGAUGUCUGACUAUAGACCUCCCUUGAGUUAUCACGGGCAAGGGCCAUCCGACCAUUACAGGCCUUUCCACCAAGAUAAAUCAGCCGAUUAUAAGCAACUCCUUCCCCCUCCUCACUCCCAGGUCCCUGACCCUCGCUCUCCAGCUUCUCAGAAAUCUCCACUUGGUGCCAAGUCUCCCAUUCAGCAUCGCUCACCUCUGGAUAGGCCCUUAGAUCAGAAGAACAAUCCAGAUUAUAACUGGAGUGGUCGGAAAACCUAG